Molecule: long non-coding RNA, 1057 nt
Filed under: Mytilus galloprovincialis (Mediterranean mussel)
Lineage: Eukaryota; Metazoa; Mollusca; Bivalvia; Mytilida; Mytilidae
Source: RNAcentral
UAAAUGGCCAUCUUCCUUUUAAAAUCAAUUUAUCACCAAUUUAAUUUCCUAUUUUUGUAACACAUGCAGUUGACAUUUCUAUAGGAACCAACUACUGUUAACCAACUUAUUUUGUGGACCUUUGAAUUGUGUUGUCAUUUCUAUCAUAUUUCGCAGCUGAUAUUUUUUUUUCGUGUAUCGCCAAUUCUAUUAUAUUUCACUUAAGAUUUUUUUUCAUGUAAAUAUAAGAAAGACGAUGAGGUAUGAUUGCCAAUAAGACUUUACUCUUCUAAAGAGACUUAAUGACUCAAAAAAUUAACAGCUUAAGGUAACUGUACGACCGUCAACGAUGAGCAAACCCCAAACCGCAUUGUCAUCCAUAAAAGGCCACAAAAUCACAUAUGCAAAACAAUUCAAACGAAAAAACUGAUAUUUUUUUGUGUAUCUCAUUUCUAUCAUAUGUCACUUAGAAAUUUUUUUUGCCAUAUAUAUAUAUAUAUAUAUAUAUAUAUAUAUAUAUAUAGAAGAUAUGGUAUGAUUGCCAAUGAGACAACUCUCCACAAGUGACUAAAUAACACAGAAAUUAAUAACUAUAGGUAACUGUAUGGCCCUCAAUGAUGAACAAAGCCCAAACUGCAUAGCUAUUUAGGCACAGAAAUCAUGUAUGUAAAACAAUUCAAACCACAAAACUUACGACCAUACAGACAUUUCUAUCAUAUUUCUCAGCUGAUAUUUUUUUCUCAUAUUGCCAUUUCUAUCAUAUUUCACGAGACUUUUUCUGCUUUUAUAUUAAAAAAAAAGAAGAUGUGGUAUGAUUGCCAAUGAGACAACUCUCCACAAGAAACUCAAUGACACAGAAAUUAACAGCUAUAUGUAACUGUACGGCCCUCAAUGAUGAGCAAAAACCAAAGUGCAUAAUCAGCUUUGAUAGGCCCAGAAAUCACAAAUGUAAAACAAUUCAAACGAACACACUUAAGGACCAUUUAGCCAUUUUUAGCAUUUUUGGAUAAAUAUCGUGAUUAUCUAAUUUUUCGGAUUAUUUCGCAAUUCUAUUUUGAAAUACUCGUGAUUUAUAUUC